RNAcentral lists this ribosomal RNA (506 nucleotides) under uncultured bacterium. Its description in RNAcentral is "bacterial SSU rRNA". It matches the Rfam family "Bacterial small subunit ribosomal RNA", at positions 19 to 518 of the family's 1533-position model. The record is from RNAcentral.
CUGGCUCAGGAUGAACGCUAGCGGCAGGCUUAACACAUGCAAGUCGAGGGGCAGCGGGAUGUAGCAAUACAUUGCCGGCGACCGGCGGAUGGGUGCGUAACGCGUAUGCAACCUACCUUAUACAGGGGAAUAACCUUUCGAAAGGGAGACUAACACCCCAUAGUAUUGAUUUAAGGCAUCUUAGAUUAAUUAAAUAUUUAUAGGUAUAAGAUGGGCAUGCGUAUGAUUAGCUAGUUGGUAAGGUAACGGCUUACCAAGGCGACGAUCAUUAGGGGUUCUGAGAGGAAGGUCCCCCACACUGGUACUGAGACACGGACCAGACUCCUACGGGAGGCAGCAGUGAGGAAUAUUGGUCAAUGGGCGCAAGCCUGAACCAGCCAUGCCGCGUGCAGGAAGACGGCCUUAUGGGUUGUAAACUGCUUUUACAUAAGACUAACCGUAUAUUUGCGAAUAUACCUGAAUGUAUUAUGAGAAUAAGGAUCGGCUAACUCCGUGCCAGCCGCUGC